This 384-nucleotide ribosomal RNA is filed under the name uncultured Alphaproteobacteria bacterium. Its description in RNAcentral is "bacterial SSU rRNA". It matches the Rfam family "Bacterial small subunit ribosomal RNA", at positions 9 to 419 of the family's 1533-position model. The record is from RNAcentral. Lineage: Bacteria; Pseudomonadati; Pseudomonadota; Alphaproteobacteria.
GAGUUUGAUCUUGGCUCAGAACGAACGCUGGCGGCAGGCUUAACACAUGCAAGUCGAACGGACGUAGCAAUACGUUAGUGGCGCACGGGUGAGUAACGCGUGGAUAUCUGCCUUUUGGUUCGGGAUAACCUUGGGAAACUAGGGCUAAUACCGAAUGGUUCCUACGGGAUAAAGAUUUAUCGCCAAAAGAUGAGUCCGCGUCCGAUUAGCUAGUUGGCGGGGUAACGGCCCACCAAGGCGACGAUCGGUAGCUGGCCUGAGAGGACGAUCAGCCACACUGGGACUGAGACACGGCCCAGACUCCUACGGGAGGCAGCAGUGGGGAAUAUUGCACAAUGGGCGCAAGCCUGAUGCAGCAACGCCGCGUGCAUGAUGAAGGCCUUC